Molecule: ribosomal RNA, 250 nt
Filed under: uncultured prokaryote
Description: partial 16S ribosomal RNA
Rfam family: Bacterial small subunit ribosomal RNA
Source: RNAcentral
UACGGAGGGUGCAAGCGUUGUCCGGAAUCAUUGGGCGUAAAGCGUUCGUAGGCGGUUUGCAUAGUCUGGUGUUAAAUCCCGGGGCUCAACUUCGGAUCUGCACUGGAUACUGGCAGGCUAGAAUGAGGUAGAGGUAAUGGGAAUUCCUGGUGUAACGGUGAAAUGUUUAGAUAUCAGGAGGAACAUCGGUGGCGUAAGCGCAUUACUGGGCCUUUAUUGACGCUGAGGAACGAAAGCUAGGGUAGCAAAC